GCUCAGGAUGAACGCUGGCGGCGUGCNUAAUACAUGCAAGUCGAGCGAACAGAUGAGAAGCUUGCUUCUCUGAUGUUAGCGGCGGACGGGUGAGUAACACGUGGGUAACCUACCUAUAAGACUGGGAUAACUCCGGGAAACCGGGGCUAAUACCUGAUAAUAUUUUGAACCGCAUGGUUCAAUAGUGAAAGACGGCUUCGGCUGUCACUUAUAGAUGGACCCGCGCCGUAUUAGCUAGUUGGUAAGGUAAUGGCUUACCAAGGCGACGAUACGUAGCCGACCUGAGAGGGUGAUCGGCCACACUGGAACUGAGACACGGUCCAGACUCCUACGGGAGGCAGCAGUAGGGAAUCUUCCGC
Molecule: ribosomal RNA, 359 nt
Filed under: Mammaliicoccus vitulinus
Lineage: Bacteria; Bacillati; Bacillota; Bacilli; Caryophanales; Staphylococcaceae
Description: bacterial SSU rRNA
Rfam family: Bacterial small subunit ribosomal RNA
Source: RNAcentral